RNAcentral lists this non-coding RNA (32 nucleotides) under Mus musculus (house mouse). Lineage: Eukaryota; Metazoa; Chordata; Mammalia; Rodentia; Muridae. The record is from RNAcentral.
UGGACAGAUGCCUGAGGCAAAGAACUUGGUUU